UGCUUGUUAGGAUAGACAAA
Molecule: small nuclear RNA, 20 nt
Filed under: Arabidopsis thaliana (thale cress)
Lineage: Eukaryota; Viridiplantae; Streptophyta; Magnoliopsida; Brassicales; Brassicaceae
Description: snRNA_10017
Source: RNAcentral